RNAcentral lists this transfer RNA (72 nucleotides) under Marmota monax (woodchuck). It matches the Rfam family "tRNA". From Rfam's summary of the family: Transfer RNA (tRNA) molecules are approximately 80 nucleotides in length. Their secondary structure includes four short double-helical elements and three loops (D, anti-codon, and T loops). The record is from Rfam by way of RNAcentral. Lineage: Eukaryota; Metazoa; Chordata; Mammalia; Rodentia; Sciuridae.
GAGGAUGUAGUUCAGUGGUAGAGUAUGUGUUUAGCAUGUACAAGGCCCUGGGUCUGAUCCCCAGCACUACCA